Molecule: ribosomal RNA, 666 nt
Filed under: Drosophila busckii
Lineage: Eukaryota; Metazoa; Arthropoda; Insecta; Diptera; Drosophilidae
Description: eukaryotic LSU rRNA
Rfam family: Eukaryotic large subunit ribosomal RNA
Source: RNAcentral
CUUUGUCUAUAUGGCAAAUGUGAGAUGCAGUGUAGGAAACAUCAAUUAUCUAGUAUGAGAAAUUAACGAUUUAAGUCCUUCUUAAAUGAGGCCAUUUACCCAAAGAGGGUGCCAGGCCCGUAUAACGUUAAUGAUUACUGGAUGAUGUUUUCAAAGAGUCGUGUUGCUUGAUAGUGCAGCACUAAGUGGGUGGUAAACUCCAUCUAAAACUAAAUAUAACCAUGAGACCGAUAGUAAACAAGUACCGUGAGGGAAAGUUGAAAAGAACUCUGAAUAGAGAGUUAAAUAGUACGUGAAACUGCUUAGAGGUUAAGCCCGAUGAACCUGAAUAUCCAUUAUGGAAAAUUCAUCAUUAGAAUUGUAAUAUUUAAACAAUAUUAUAAUAAUAGUGUGCAUUUUUUCCAUAUAAGGACAUUGUAAUCUAUUAGUAUAAUAAAUUUAUCAUACAAUUAUGGCUUAUAGUUUAUUUUGAUUAUUUUGCUUGCAUUUUAAUUUAAGAUAAAUGUUGUAAAUUUGAUAAAGUACUGAUAGAUUAAUAUGAAUACAGUGCGUUAAUUUUUCGGAAUUAUAUAAUGGCAUAAUUAUCAUUGAUUUUUGUGUUUAUUAUAUGCACUUGUAUGAUUAACAAUGCGAAAGAUUCAGGAUACCUUCGGGACCCGUCUUGAA